GCUAAGAUUUUGCAAUCACCUGGACUCAUUAUCUUGAUGAGGUCUGUUCAGUUCGUUGCAUCUCAAACUGUUGAGUUCGUGCAGGAUCUGGCACAGCAGUACAGUGCAGAGCUAAGCCCUGUUUUGUUUGGAGAUGGAGAUUGUUUCCUUGUAUAUGUCCAAAGAUAUUUCAUCAACUCUUGUGCGGAAUGAUGAUUUCAUAAAAUUCAUGGGUAGAUUGAAUCCUCUAUUCAAAAGACCAGCAGGCUUCAUGGAUGAGCAAUCGGCAAACUCUGAAAUGCAGAAGUAGAAUUUCAAUAGCAUCUGCGAUUACUAUCAUGUAAGUCACUUAUCCUAACUUACUCAUAGUCUGAUACUUCCUGCUUUUCAUCUCUCUAUUGGGUGUGUAAACAUUUUACCACAGUUAAAGAAUCAAAGUGAAAACAAACAUAAACAUCAGCAAACUAAACUAAAGCUCUUCUAAAGAAAGGUAAAUUUCAGAGGAGAAAGAAAGAAGAAAAUGUGAUCAUUGUGGGUUAACAUAGUGGGCCAGAUGAGAUGGGCUCUGCAAAGCUUGAACACCAUGAUCAAACCAUGACCAUUCUUUCCUUCGUCUGCCUUUUCUGUGAGGAAGAAAAAAGAGGGUCAUAAUGUUGUGGAGGUGCAGCAACGCAAGAUUCUUUAUCAAUUAUUGAGACAAAUCACUGAUCGGUUCCCUUACACCAUAGACUACGGUCCAUGGCCGGCUGCAAUAAUAUAAUCCUCUCAUCAUAACGCCUUGAAACGAAUCAUCAAUAACAAAACAUGAGAACGGCUACAAGAUUAGGAUUGGCUAAUCAUUUUUUCCCUAAUGGCUAGACAACUCAGCUGCUGCCUGCUUCUUUGGAGAAAGACUGAGUUGCAUGUACUUUUGUGGUAGUGCCAUUGCUGAUGCCCUCACAAAACAGUAGCUCUGUCCUUAGUCGUAGAUAAAUAAAAAAAAUAAAAAGCUCAUCCUUUUGUUCCCCAAUAUAUAUUUAUAUUCACAAAUAUGUACUAAUUUUACUUCAGCACAAGAAGUUCUUGAACGAAUAUAUAACUCGAUCAAUAGAAGUAUUGUAGCACAUGUGGUUUUCAGAUAUUGGAAAGUUUCAUUGAAUUUAGCCAAUUACAUUAAGGCGAUACAAAUUAUGUCUGUAUAAGAUAUGUAAUGAUGCAUGUAACACGUUUUUUUUUGUUUUGAGAGGGGAAUUGUGAGGUGGUUAUUGUUCCAGCGUUCCAACCUCUAACUACCUGAGCACACUGAUGCCAUUUGGUCAUGCAUGCUGAAAUUAAAAUGCUACCGGUACAGAGGCUGACGCCAACUAAUUAAGCAGCUGCCUAUCCUGAAAAUAAAACUAACUUGUUUCAGUUAGCUGGUUAUAUAUCCAGAAACUAUUCAUCUACACAAGUAAGGUACUAAAAAGAUGGAAAUUUUUUUGUGCUAAUGAACUUUCCCUCUCUGUGAUACACCAUACACCUGCAAACUCAUGACAGUAAUCAAAAGGCUAUAACUUUAUAUUACUACUAGAGGUUGUAAGGACUCUGUCUACUGUUGGUUGUUGCAUGCAUUAGAGUCAGUAAGGACUCUGCCUAGCUAGCAGGCCUCUUUUGCAAAAACAUGUUUUUUACAUGCUAAUUGAGCACCAGAAAUGCUGUCGGCAAAGACCAGUAGGUUUUUUUUUUUCAGCCAAACUCAGUCUGUCAUUCACAUGCUUUUGGCAACAUCAAAAGUUCAAAACAAAAACCCUGCUGUAUUGCAUAUACUAGAUACUAAAAAAAUAUUAGAAAAAGAACCUUGCACCUAUCUUAGACAAAUGGACUCUAUACAGCACCACAUCCUAGCCAAGAUAGCAUAUUAGCAUCCAAACAAUUGAGAGGAGAACAGCAUGAUAAUGAUAUGAGCAUGCUUAACAGAUAACACUACUUGCAAAGUACAAGAGGGCACAUAUUUAUAUGUUGCCGAUCGGCUGUUGUACAGUUCCAUGGUAGUAUGUAUGUUGUAAUGUUGCAUGAUAUCAGCAUGCUAGUUUGAGUGUUUUGGAAGAUGGACCAGUUCAGUACUCUUACAGCCUCCAAUUAGAUGCCACAGAAAUUUAUCAACUACUCUUAUUAGUUCUCAUCUGCUAAUUAUUAUUUGAUCUGAUGGUUGUACUUAUACAUGUGCUCAUUUACAAUUGAGCUAUUCCCUCUGUUUUAAAUUUACUUGUUCUUCUACCUUUCUCCCAAGCUAAACAUCUGUAUCAUUGAUCAUAAAUUUAUAGAAAUUCAUAUAGUUUAAUAUCAUAAGGUUUAUGUCUUUAGAUUCACCAUGAGAAAUACUUUCGUAAUAUAUAAUUCCUAUGUUGCCAAACCACAUAAAUAUUUAAAAACUUGAUAAAAGAUAAAAAUGUUUGACUUACGACAAAACUAAAAUGGCAAUCACUGUGAAAUGGAGAGAGCACUGUACAGCCCAUAUAGAACAACGCCCUGUCCAAUUGCAUGCACCCCUCUAUGUCUCAGUCUUUCUCCCUACAGGAGUACUGUAGCUAGCUAGAGUACCAAGAGUGCACUGUUGAUGCACUGAACUCGGUCCAUCCAUGGCGCCUGGUGUUGUUGCAGAUACAUAUGCCUGCCUAUCUACAUGGCCGGUAGUAGCCCUGUAGCUGGGUGCAUGCUCAGACUAAUCUGAACUGAACCCAUUGAUGAUGUUGUGUCAAUGGGCCCUGCAGUGAACCAGUCAGCAUCUCUGUAUCAGCAAAAGCUUUUUUUUCCUGCAUUGCUUCCAGUAUCAGACCAUCAGUACCAGGUUUUGGAGGCACAUGUUAUAAUGGUGCUCAGUUUUGCAAUUGAUAGCUGCAACUCCUAUCUUGCUGCCUUCUUAACAGAAUGUUGCGAUGAACAGGGCAAAGCUGCAACAUAUUUGAAGUGCACCUGCACCGUCUGAUCAUAUCUGAACCUCUGAUGGACCUGCAAAAGCUCUGCACUCACCACACACCAUAAAUAAUGUCCCAGGAGCUACUAAUUCAGAGCUUAAAACCGAACACACAUAUCAAAAUCAACUUCCUUUCAGUGGUGUGCUCUGUGCUAGAUGCCAAAUGUGCAACAAUAACAGACAACAGAAAUGCUCCAAAACCAAAAGGCUAUGCAUAGCUCUAUAGGGCACAGAUAGAGGAGCAGCCUAAUGAGCAAAUUUGUUGACAAGUAAAUGUUGACAGGGCAGAACAACAGUGUCAUCCUCUCCUUCUUGGUGUAUCAUAUGCAUGCAUGUGUGUGUUCACUGUAGUGUAGUACUUUUGCCACUGGAAAAGCCAAAGAUCUCCAGUAGUAGGGUUCUUCCUAGCACUGAACAAAGAGGAAAGCUUUGACCCACUGGAAAUGUGCAAAUAGGAGUAGCAUCCUAGCUAUAUCUUCUCCUCCUUGUCCUUGACAUGGAGUAUAGUAAAGUGUAGACAGUAGUUGUACUUAAUACUCCUUCUAGAUUACUAGUACACAUGUACUAUAUAUGCAUGCUGGGUACUCAUUACUAUGUGAUUUAUGUAUCAAGUACACAGUUGAAAUGCAUGCCCUAGUGACUCAUUUGACUUGGAGAACACAUACACCAUGGAGGUGUUUAGAUGUUUCUUUCAAUGAAUGGAGAGGAGUCACAUUGACAUAUAUGCUCAUAGAACAGCUAUUCAAACCUUAUUUGUGAUUGUGAAACUCUUCUAUUAUAAACUAUAUGUGGAACUGCAAUACAAUAGUGGCAUGAA
Non-coding RNA from Oryza sativa Japonica Group (Japanese rice), 3728 nucleotides. The record is from RefSeq and is a predicted model, not a curated record. Lineage: Eukaryota; Viridiplantae; Streptophyta; Magnoliopsida; Poales; Poaceae.